RNAcentral lists this unclassified non-coding RNA (133 nucleotides) under rhizosphere metagenome. RNAcentral describes it as "partial ribosomal RNA internal transcribed spacer region". The record is from RNAcentral.
AAAUGGCUAGCAAUAGCUUUUAUAUCCUUAUACACCUGUGAACUAUUUGCCUUUGGGCACAAACUUAAACAUAAUGUAAUGAAUGUAAACUAUUAUAACAAAUACAACUUUCAACAACGGAUCUCUUGGCUCU